RNAcentral lists this ribosomal RNA (675 nucleotides) under Triticum aestivum (bread wheat). RNAcentral's name for it is "partial small subunit ribosomal RNA". The record is from RNAcentral. Lineage: Eukaryota; Viridiplantae; Streptophyta; Magnoliopsida; Poales; Poaceae.
AUGCCCACGCAGCAGCUCACGACAUUCCAGCUGCUCCCGCCCGCUCACGCGCACGGCGACUGGCGACAGUACCAGUACCACCACCACCACCACCACCAGGACCAGCAGCAGCAGCUCGCCUGCGGCGGCGGAGGAGGAGGCCCGUGGGACCCCGCGUCGGUGCUCGACCGCCGGGCCAGCCCCGCCGCGCAUCCCACGCUGUCUUCCCCCUCGCCCCUGCCCGCCGGCGUGGCGGCCCUUGCCAAGAACGUCUCCGCGGCCCCGCCGGCGCAGGCAUGGCCACUCCCGCCGGGCCCCGGGGCGAACGACGACGACGCCAAGGACGACUGGGUCCACCACCUGCCGCCCCUCGACAUGGCCGGCUGGGGCGACCCGCACGCCGCCGCGAUGCAGGAGCCGCACCCGCCGCCCUCCUCGCAGGACAGCACCUUCCUCCGCUGGAUCAUCGGCGGCGGGGACGACGAGGACGACGACUCCGGGGGUGGAGCGCGCGGGGGUGGAGAUGGAGGCGGGCGCGGAGGGAGAGGGCGAGGGCGGCGAGGCGGGCGCGGAGCGACACCGUGGGGGGGUUUCUGCAAAAAAAUGCCACGUCAGCAGCUGACAGGCGGGCCCUGCCGGUCAGAUACACUGUCAAUACGCGUUUAUACGCGAUUUAGACCUUUUUGUAACGUCUAG